UACAGAGACUGCAAGCGUUAUUCGGAUUCACUGGGCGUAAAGGGUGCGCAGGCGGCCAAGUGUGUGAGGCGUGGAAGCCCGAUGCUCAACAUCGGAAUUGCACCUCAAACUACAUGGCUAGAGCAUUGGAGAGGGUAGCGGAAUUCACGGUGUAGCAGUGAAAUGCGUAGAUAUCGUGAGGAACACCAGAGGCGAAGGCGGCUACCUGGACAAUUGCUGACGCUCAGGCACGAAAGCGUGGGGAGCAAAAGGG
This 253-nucleotide ribosomal RNA is filed under the name uncultured bacterium. RNAcentral describes it as "partial 16S ribosomal RNA". It matches the Rfam family "Bacterial small subunit ribosomal RNA", at positions 524 to 776 of the family's 1533-position model. The record is from RNAcentral.